UGGUGCCCGCAGCCGCGGUAAUUCCAGCUCCAAUAGCGUAUAUUAAAGUUGUUGUGGUUAAAAAGCUCGUAGUUGAACCUUGGGCCUGGCUGGCCGGUCCGCCUCACCGCGUGUACUGGUCCGGCCGGGCCUUUCCCUCUGUGGAACCCCAUGCCCUUCACUGGGUGUGGCGGGGAAACAGGACUUUUACUGUGAAGAAAUUAGAGUGCUCCAGGCAGGCCUAUGCUCGAAUACAUUAGCAUGGAAUAAUAGAAUAGGACGUGUGGUUCUAUUUUGUUGGUUUCUAGGACCGCCGUAAUGAUUAAUAGGGACAGUCGGGGGCAUCAGUAUUCAAUUGUCAGAGGUGAAAUUCUUGGAUUUAUUGAAGACUAACUACUGUGAAAGCAUUUGCCAAGGAUGUUUUCAUUAAUCAGGAACGAAAGUUAGGGGAUCGAAGACGAUCAGAUACCGUCGUAGUCUUAACCAUAAACUAUGCCGACUAGGGA
This 485-nucleotide ribosomal RNA is filed under the name uncultured Glomeromycotina. RNAcentral describes it as "SSU rRNA". It matches the Rfam family "Eukaryotic small subunit ribosomal RNA", at positions 562 to 1052 of the family's 1831-position model. The record is from RNAcentral. Lineage: Eukaryota; Fungi; Glomeromycota.